GUGCUGGCUUUGGCAGCACACAUACUAAACUUGGAAUGAUACAGAUAUUAGCAUGGCCCCUAUGCAAGGAUGACAUGCAAAUUCAUGAAGCGUUCCAUAUUUAA
This is a small nuclear RNA of Lemur catta (Ring-tailed lemur), 104 nucleotides long. The record is from RefSeq and is a predicted model, not a curated record. NCBI's taxonomy places the organism in Eukaryota, Metazoa, Chordata, Mammalia, Primates, Lemuridae.